This 671-nucleotide long non-coding RNA is filed under the name Vigna radiata. RNAcentral's name for it is "long non-coding RNA (VRAD_LNC006924)". Lineage: Eukaryota; Viridiplantae; Streptophyta; Magnoliopsida; Fabales; Fabaceae. The record is from RNAcentral.
GGGUGACGAGGUGUCGUGGAACACAACAGCACAAAGUGACGCCGACAAUGGCAAUGCGAGACGAUGACAACAGUAACAAUGCAAGAUGAUGACAACAGCAGCAGCGCGAGACGACGACAACAACGAUAACGCAAGAGGUGACAACGAUAGCAGCAAAACACAAUGACUACAAGGAUAAGACGCGACGACAGCAACAACAACGACAAUAUAUGACGACAACAGUGGCAGCGGUAAGAUGUAAGGGCAAGAAUGAAAAAACGCGACUGCGGCAACGACAAUGGCAAGAUGCGACUGUGACAGCGAAAACGACAAGACGCGACGACGAAAUCGUGGGAAGGGGCGGCGAGACACGACAUGCGAGGCGGCAACUACAACACCCACUUUCUUGGACGCAGAACAAGGAGAUCUAGAAAGGGGAGAUCUCUUAAGCAGAGGUUAUGACACAAUGUGUUGGGAUUGGACAAGAGCAAAAAUGGAGAGAGAAAGAAAUUUCUAAGGAUGGAAGAAAAUGAAGAAAGAAGUGUUUUGUGUUUUGAGUAGAAGAAGGAGAACUAAUGUUAAGAAUAGUUUGGGAAUUAGGCUAAAUAAUUUAGGUCUUUUCAUAUUUUAAUAGACUUAAAAUAUUAAUUUAGGUCUGUCAAAAAGCUCAACAAAUGCAAAAUUUAAAUGUG